AUUGAACGCUGGCGGCAGGCCUUACACAUGCAAGUCGAACGGCAGCACGGGAGCAAUCCUGGUGGCGAGUGGCGAACGGGUGAGUAAAGUAUCGGAACGUGCCCAGUCGUGGGGGAUAACGUAGCGAAAGUUACGCUAAUACCGCAUACGAUCUAUGGAUGAAAGCGGGGGAUCGCAAGACCUCGCGCGAUUGGAGCGGCCGAUAGCAGAUUAGGUAGUUGGUGGGGUAAAGGCUCACCAAGCCGACGAUCUGUAGCUGGUCUGAGAGGACGACGAGCCACACUGGGACUGAGACACGGACCAGACUCCUACGGGAGGCAGCAGUGGGGAAUUUUGGACAAUGGGCGAAAGCCUGAUCCAGCCAGGCCGCGUGCAGGAUGAAGGCCUUCGGGUUGUAAACUGCUUUUGUACGGAACGAAAAGGUUUGGCCUAAUAAGCUGAGCUCAUGACGGUACCGUAAGAAUAAGCACCGGCUAACUACGUGCCAGCAGCCGCAGUAA
This 500-nucleotide ribosomal RNA is filed under the name uncultured bacterium. Its description in RNAcentral is "partial 16S ribosomal RNA". It matches the Rfam family "Bacterial small subunit ribosomal RNA", at positions 29 to 523 of the family's 1533-position model. The record is from RNAcentral.